GCCCACAUAGCUCAGUAGGUAGAGCGUCGCCUUGGUAAGGCGGAGGUCUCCGGUUCGACCCCGGAUGUGGGCU
Molecule: transfer RNA, 73 nt
Filed under: Syntrophaceticus schinkii
Lineage: Bacteria; Bacillati; Bacillota; Clostridia; Thermoanaerobacterales; Thermoanaerobacterales Family III. Incertae Sedis
Rfam family: tRNA
About the family: Transfer RNA (tRNA) molecules are approximately 80 nucleotides in length. Their secondary structure includes four short double-helical elements and three loops (D, anti-codon, and T loops).
Source: Rfam by way of RNAcentral